Molecule: ribosomal RNA, 1133 nt
Filed under: Rhodococcus (subgen. Prescottella) equi
Lineage: Bacteria; Bacillati; Actinomycetota; Actinomycetes; Mycobacteriales; Nocardiaceae
Description: Rhodococcus hoagii partial 23S ribosomal RNA
Rfam family: Bacterial large subunit ribosomal RNA
Source: RNAcentral
CAGAGAGAAGCGACUGUUUACUAAAAACACAGGUCCGUGCGAAGUCGUAAGACGAUGUAUACGGACUGACGCCUGCCCGGUGCUGGAAGGUUAAGAGGACCGGUUAGCCAUAAUGGCGAAGCUGAGAAUUUAAGCCCCAGUAAACGGCGGUGGUAACUAUAACCAUCCUAAGGUAGCGAAAUUCCUUGUCGGGUAAGUUCCGACCUGCACGAAUGGCGUAAACGACUUCUCUGCUGUCUCAACCACAGACUCGGCGAAAUUGCAUUACGAGUAAAGAUGCUCGUUACGCGCGGCAGGACGAAAAGACCCCGGGACCUUCACUAUAGCUUGGUAUUGGUGUUCGGUUCGGUUGUGUAGGAUAGGUGGGAGACUGUGAAGCGGGCACGCCAGUGUUCGUGGAGUCGUUGUUGAAAUACCACUCUGAUCGUAUUGGACAUCUACCUCGGACCAUGAUCUGGUUCAGGGACAGUGCCUGGUGGGUAGUUUACUGGGCGGUUUGCCUCCAAAAUGUAACGGAGGCGCCAAGGUCCCUCUCAGCCUGGUUGGCAAUCAGGUGUCGAGUGCAAGUGCACAAGGGAGCUUGACUGUGAGACUGACAGGUCGAGCAGGGACGAAAGUCGGGACUAGUGAUCCGGCACCGGCAAGUGAAGCGGUGUCGCUCACGGAUAAAAGGUACCCGGGGAUAACAGGCUGAUCUUCCCAAGAGUCCAUAUCGACGGGAUGGUUUGGCACCUCGAUGUCGGCUCGUCGCAUCCUGGGGCUGGAGUAGGUCCCAAGGGUUGGGCUGUUCGCCCAUUAAAGCGGCACGCGAGCUGGGUUUAGAACGUCGUGAGACAGUUCGGUCUCUAUCCGCCGCGCGCGUUAGAAACUUGAGGAAGGCUGUCCCUAGUACGAGAGGACCGGGACGGACGAACCUCUGGUGUGCCAGUUGUUCGCCAGGAGCACUGCUGGUUAGCUACGUUCGGAAGGGAUAACCGCUGAAAGCAUCUAAGCGGGAAGCCUGUUCCAAGAUGAGGUUUCUCACCCCCUCGAGGGGUAAGGCCCCCGGCAGACCACCGUGUUGAUAGGCCGAACUGGAAGCACAGUAAUGUGUGGAGGUGACUGGUACUAAUAGGCCGAGGACUUACCACCAA